AUUAGCAUGCGAGUCGUACGAGAACCCGCAAGGGGGAAAGUGGCGAACGGGGUAGUAAUGCGUAGGUGACGUGCCCUGCGGUCGGGGAUAGCUUAGGGAAACUUAAGGUAAUACCCGAUGACCCCACGAGGUUUGAAUACCUUGUGGGCAAAGGUGUGAUUCCACCACAGGAGCGGCUUGCGUGGUAUUAGCUAGUUGGUGAGGUAACGGCUCACCAAGGCUUCGAUGCCUAGGGGAUGUUAGCGCAUGAUCCCCACCACUGGGACUGAGAUACUGCCCAGACACCUACGGGUGGCUGCAGUCGAGAAUCUUCGGCAAUGGGCGAAAGCCUGACCGAGCGACGCCGCGUGUGGGAUGAAGGCCCUUGGGUUGUAAACCACUGUCAGAGGGGAUGAAAUGCCGGAGGGUUCUCCCUCCGGUUUGACAUAGCCUCAGAGGAAGCACGGGCUAAGUUCGUGCCAGCAGCCGCGGUAAGACGAACUGUGCAAACGUUAUUCGGAAUCACUGGGCUUGAAGAGUGCGUAGGCGGUUUCGUAAGUAGGGUGUGAAAGCCCCCGGCUCAACCGGGGAAUUGCGUCCUAAACUGCGAGGCUGGAGUGAGGUAGGGGUGUGUGGAACUUCCAGUGGAGCGGUGAAAUGUGUUGAUAUUGGAAGGAACGCCGGUGGCGAAAGCGACACACUGGGCCUUGUCUGACGCUGAGGCACG
Molecule: ribosomal RNA, 706 nt
Filed under: uncultured bacterium
Lineage: Bacteria
Description: bacterial SSU rRNA
Rfam family: Bacterial small subunit ribosomal RNA
Source: RNAcentral